This 288-nucleotide small RNA is filed under the name Lachnoclostridium phytofermentans ISDg. Its description in RNAcentral is "Clostridium phytofermentans ISDg 5' ureB small RNA". It matches the Rfam family "5' ureB small RNA". Lineage: Bacteria; Bacillati; Bacillota; Clostridia; Lachnospirales; Lachnospiraceae. The record is from Rfam by way of RNAcentral.
AUCUACUUGUUGAGGUGAAAUAAAGUGAAUGUGAGUAUCAAUACCACCGGCAGUCACAAUAAGGCCUUCUCCUGCGAUAAUUUCAGUGGAUGCUCCUAUGAUAAUGUCUACAUUCUUCAUGAUGCGAGGAUUACCACUUUUACCAAUAGCCGCAAUUUUUCCAUCUUUAAUACCGAUGUCAGCCUUGUAUAUACCAGAGUAGUCAAGAAUCACAGCAUUGGUAAUAACAAGAUCCAUUGCACCUUCUGCACGGCUUAUAAGAGGGUCUUGUCCCAUACCAUCACGGAU